This 525-nucleotide ribosomal RNA is filed under the name uncultured bacterium. Its description in RNAcentral is "bacterial SSU rRNA". It matches the Rfam family "Bacterial small subunit ribosomal RNA", at positions 26 to 518 of the family's 1533-position model. The record is from RNAcentral.
GGCGUUAGGACGAACGCUGGCGGCCGUGCCUAAUACAUGCAAGUCGAACGGUCUUUCUAUGGAAGCUUGCUCCACUGAGAAGAUAGUGGCGAACGGGUGAGUAACACGUGGGUAACCUGCCCAUAAGAGGGGGAUAACAUCCGGAAACGGGUGCUAAUACCGCAUAGUUUUCUUGAUCGCAUGAUCGGGAAAGGAAAGACGGCCUUUGUGCUGUCGCUUAUGGAUGGACCCGCGGCGUAUUAGUUAGUUGGUGAGGUAAUGGCUCACCAAGACGAUGAUACGUAGCCGACCUGAGAGGGUGAUCGGCCACAUUGGGACUGAGACACGGCCCAAACUCCUACGGGAGGCAGCAGUAGGGAAUCUUCCGCAAUGGACGAAAGUCUGACGGAGCAACGCCGCGUGAGUGAAAGAAGGUUUUCGGAUCGUAAAACUCUGUUGUCAGAGAAGAACAAGUUGGAGAGUAACUGCUCCAGCCUUGACGGUAUCUGACCAGAAAGCCACGGCUAACUACGUGCCAGCCGCCGC